CCUACGGGGCGCAGCAGUCGAGAAUCAUUCACAAUGGGGGAAACCCUGAUGGUGCGACGCCGCGUGGGGGAAUGAAGGUCUUCGGAUUGUAAACCCCUGUCAUGUGGGAGCAAAUUAAAAAGAUAGUACCACAAGAGGAAGAGACGGCUAACUCUGUGCCAGCAGCCGCGGUAAUACAGAGGUCUCAAGCGUUGUUCGGAAUCACUGGGCGUAAAGCGUGCGUAGGCUGUUUCGUAAGUCGUGUGUGAAAGGCGCGGGCUCAACCCGCAGACGGCACAUGAUACUGCGAGACUAGAGUAAUGGAGGGGGAACCGGAAUUCUCGGUGUAGCAGUGAAAUGCGUAGAUAUCGAGAGGAACACUCGUGGCGAAGGCGGGUUCCUGGACAUUAACUGACGCUGAGGCACGAAGGCCAGGGGAGCAAACAGGAUUAGAUACCCGGGUAGUC
Molecule: ribosomal RNA, 446 nt
Filed under: uncultured bacterium
Lineage: Bacteria
Description: partial 16S ribosomal RNA
Rfam family: Bacterial small subunit ribosomal RNA
Source: RNAcentral